UUGAGGGACCACAGGGAUCUCUGAGUAAAGUCUUGCUCCCAGCUUGAGUUCUUGCACACUGCCGUUUCUCAUAAAUAUGCACCAACGUACAAGUAAUUUCUAUUUUGAAGACAGAAAAUGCAAUAUCAACAGAUGAAAUCCAAAAGACAGACAAAGAAAAAGCUGCUCUUCCAGAUGGAUCUACUCCUUAGACACUUCCUUGAGUCUUCAUCUUCAGGGGAAUAUUUUCACUGAUUUGAAGGCUAAACUCCUGUGAGGAAAAGAUCUAGUCAAGAUAGAAUUCUCUCUUCAUUGUCAAAUCCAAAUAAAGUCCUUAU
Long non-coding RNA from Nothoprocta perdicaria, 317 nucleotides. RefSeq lists it as uncharacterized. NCBI's taxonomy places the organism in Eukaryota, Metazoa, Chordata, Aves, Tinamiformes, Tinamidae. The record is from RefSeq and is a predicted model, not a curated record. The transcript has 3 exons.